CGGACUUAGAAGAGCUUGCUCUUCUAAGUUAGUGGCGGACGGGUGAGUAACACGUGAGCAACCUGCCUUACAGAGGGGGACAACAGCUGGAAACGGCUGCUAAUACCGCAUAACAUCAUUGGAUCGCAUGGUCUGAUGAUCAAAGAUUUAUCGCUGUAAGAUGGGCUCGCGUCCGAUUAGUUAGUUGGUGGGGUAAUGGCUCACCAAGACCGCGAUCGGUAGCCGGACUGAGAGGUUGAACGGCCACAUUGGGACUGAGACACGGCCCAGACUCCUACGGGAGGCAGCAGUGGGGGAUAUUGCACAAUGGGGGAAACCCUGAUGCAGCAACGCCGCGUGAGGGAAGAAGGUCUUCGGAUUGUAAACCUUUGUUUUUGGUGAAGAAAAAAAUGACGGUAGCCAAAGAGGAAGCUCCGGCUAACUACGUGCCAGCAGCCGCGGUAAUACGUAGGGAGCGAGCGUUGUCCGGAAUUACUGGGUGUAAAGGGUGCGCAGGCGGGACUGCAAGUUGGAUGUGAAAACUAUGGGCUUAACCCAUAGACUGCAUCCAAAACUGCGGUUCUUGAGUGAAGUAGAGGUAGGCGGAAUUCCGAGUGUAGCGGUGAAAUGCGUAGAUAUUCGGAGGAACACCAGUGGCGAAGGCGGCCUACUGGGCUUUAACUGACGCUGAGGCACGAAAGCGUGGGGAGCAAACAGGAUUAGAUACCCUG
This 710-nucleotide ribosomal RNA is filed under the name uncultured bacterium. RNAcentral describes it as "bacterial SSU rRNA". It matches the Rfam family "Bacterial small subunit ribosomal RNA", at positions 63 to 789 of the family's 1533-position model. The record is from RNAcentral.